This 73-nucleotide transfer RNA is filed under the name Dehalococcoidales bacterium. Its description in RNAcentral is "tRNA-Thr". It matches the Rfam family "tRNA". From Rfam's summary of the family: Transfer RNA (tRNA) molecules are approximately 80 nucleotides in length. Their secondary structure includes four short double-helical elements and three loops (D, anti-codon, and T loops). Further hydrogen bonds mediate the characteristic L-shaped molecular structure. tRNAs have two regions of fundamental functional importance: the anti-codon, which is responsible for specific mRNA codon recognition, and the 3' end, to which the tRNAs corresponding amino acid is attached (by aminoacyl-tRNA synthetases). tRNAs cope with the degeneracy of the genetic code in two manners: having more than one tRNA (with a specific anti-codon) for a particular amino acid; and 'wobble' base-pairing, i.e. permitting non-standard base-pairing at the 3rd anti-codon position. Lineage: Bacteria; Bacillati; Chloroflexota; Dehalococcoidia; Dehalococcoidales. RNAcentral also lists the same sequence under 2 other names. The record is from RNAcentral.
GCCCACAUAGCUCAGUAGGAAGAGCAUACCCUUGGUAAGGGUAAGGUCACCAGUUCGAAUCUGGUUGUGGGCU